GGCAAGGUGGCCGAGCGGUCUAAGGCGCCACGUUAAGGAAUCAUCCUUAAUACAACUCGCAGAGUUCCGUGGUCUCGAAAGGGGCGUGAGUUCGAAUCUCACCCUUGUCA
This is a non-coding RNA of Staphylotrichum tortipilum, 110 nucleotides long. NCBI's taxonomy places the organism in Eukaryota, Fungi, Ascomycota, Sordariomycetes, Sordariales, Chaetomiaceae. The record is from the annotation of a GenBank genome assembly.